Molecule: long non-coding RNA, 2700 nt
Organism: Manihot esculenta (cassava)
Lineage: Eukaryota; Viridiplantae; Streptophyta; Magnoliopsida; Malpighiales; Euphorbiaceae
Exons: 6
Source: RefSeq, a predicted model, not a curated record
ACCGUCGAUUUCAAAUCUCCAACAAUUUCAAGCUAAGAUUUCCUUUUCGUCAACAAAAAACACCUUCGGUUACUUCAAGAUAUAGUUAUCAAUUUGUAUCUUCUUCAUUUUCCGUUCUUUUCUUUUGUGGGUUUAUUUCCUAUAGAUUCAGGGUAACUAGAUUUCAAGAAGAGAAAAAAGAUUUUGCAUCUCAAGUUUCAACCAUUGCUUCCUUGUCGAGGACUCUCAGUCUCAGCCCUAUUCAGAUUGAAGAAUGGAGAGAAAUUCUUGCCAGCUGAAAUUUUAGAUGUAAAGGUUUGUGAGCAGAAAUUGAGAAAAGGAAGAAAAAAUGCUGAAUUAAAGGAUUUUUUAUACUGGGAGGCAACAACCUUGACCAAACCUGUAACUCGAGGUGAUGGGGAGAUAAGAUAGAUUUUGUCACCUAAGCAAGAAUUCAGUUUGAUCCAGAAUCGAGAAGAUUGCAAAAAGGUUGAGGAAAGCAACCAAGUUGCAAAAACAGGCCAAUUCGGGAGCUUUUCAACCAUCUGCUUGAUCUCCUUUGCGCACCGAAAAGACCUCAUCUUCAACACCAACUGAGCCUCCAAUUGACACAAAUCAAAGAGACAAUAUGUCACAUACCCAAUACUAAAUGCACCCUUGGAAUUACGAACAUGUAUGAUUCAUAUGUUACCAAAAUUCCAAGACUUGGAGAAUGAAGACCCUCAUCAUCAUCUAAAGGAGUUUUAUGUGGUUUGUUUAAGUAUGAGACCACAAUGUAUAACUGACGAACAAAUAAGGGAAUAAUGUACGAACUUGUGGCAUUUGCAAACAAGCCAACCAUCCCACAGAUAUGUGUCAUACUCUUCAGGAAGGAGAGCAAUAGGUAAAUGCCAUUGGAGGGUUCAAUGGACAACAAUUCAAUGGACAACAAAGGAAGAAUGACCCAUUUUCAAGCACUUACAAUCCAGGGUGGAGAGAUCAUCCAAACCUUAGCUAUGGGAACAGACAAAACUUCCAGCCAAGAGCAAACUAUCAAGCUGCAAAUUCAGGUAUGUCUCUAGAAGACCUUGUUCAAUCCCUUGCUAAUAGCACUCUUGCUUUUCAACAGGAAACAAAAUCGAGCAUACAGAAUUUGGAAAAUCAAAUGAGCCAACUUGCUACGUCAGUGAGCAAACUAGAAUUUCAAGAGAAACUACCCUCCCAAACCAUACCAAAUCCAAAACAGAACGUAAGCGCAAUUAUGCUGCGAAGUGGGAAGGAGUUAGAAUCUGCCAGCCCGAAGAGGCUUGCCCAAGGCAGUACAGCAGGCCAAAAAACAGAAGCAGACCAAAAAACAGAAGCAGAAAUAGAGAUUCUAGAAGAGAAUCAACCUCAAAAAUCUAAGGAAGAACAAUCCCCAAUGCAGGUAAUACGUCCACCUUUUCCUGAAAGAUUUGCUCAAUCAAAAAGAGAAAAGGAAGAGAAAGAGAUCUUGGAGAUUUUUCGCAAAGUCCAGAUAAACAUACCCCUUCUUGAAACCAUAAAGCAAAUACCCAGGUACGCGAAAUUUUUAAAAGACCUUUGCACUAAUAAAAAAAAUUUGUAUGAGCACAAAAAGAUUAAAGUAGAGGAGAAUGUGUCAUCUGUACUCCAAAAAAAAUUGCACAAAAAUGUAAAGACAAAGACAUGUUUGCGAUAUCAUGUAAAGUUGGAAAUCUUGAAAUCAAGAAAGCAAUGUGUGAUUUAGGAGCUUCCAUAAAUGUUAUGCCUCUGUCAGUUUAUUUGUCUUUGGAUGCAGAUCCUUUGAAACAAACAGGAGUCACACUCCAACUCGCUGAUAGAUCAAUAGUUUAUCCUAAAGGCGUGUUGGAAGAUGUUUUGGUCCAAGUGGGAAAAUUAAUUUUUCCGGCUGACUUCUUUGUCUUGGAUAUGGAAGAUGACAGUUCAUCCAACUCUACAGAUUUAUUAUUAGGAAGACUAUUUCUCAGCACAGCUAGAACGAAGAUCGACGUGCACGAAGACACACUUUCAAUGGAGUUGAUGGACAAGAGGUAAAGUUUAAUGUUUAUGAUGCAAUGAAGCAUUUUGAUGAUAAUUUUUCUCUUUGCAGCAUAGAUGUAGUUGUUCCUCUCACUCAAGAAGCCUUUGAACUAAGCAAGAAAAACAAGUUGGAGGUAGUUUUAAUCGAAAACUUGACAAUGGACUGCCUUGACAAUAGCACAUCGCAAUUCAGUGAAGAAAUCAUAGAAAUAAUCCACUCAUUGGACACUUUGAACCAUAAGACACUAGAACUUGAGUUAAAAAUACUUUCAGCUCAUUUGAAAUAUGCAUUUUUGGGAAGUAAUAACACACUUCCAAUCAUAAUCUCCUCCAAGUUGAAUCAUUUAAAAGCAAUGAAGUUAAUUUGGGUGUUGAAUGAAUAUGAAGAGGGAAGUGAAUGAAACAUAACAUGCCACUGUCCAGCCUAGGACAAUAAACAAGGGCGCUACUUGGGAGGCAACCCAAGGUUACAUGCUUGCGCAAGCCUGUAGAGUCACAAGUAAGUUUUCCUUUUAAUUUUUAGUUUUAAAUUAAUUUAUUUAUUAUUUUUGGAGCAGAUUGGAUUUUCUAGGCAAUUCGGGACUUUAGGGAACCUUUUUGGAGAUGGCCUGCGCCGCCUCUUCCCAUGCCGUUUCCUCCGCCGUCGGCGCUUCGACCCGUAGCCGCAGCUCGUCGCACCGCCAGUAGACCACGAUCCCAUAG